GGAAUCACGAUUUUCUCUGGGAGUCCAUCAAACCUGGGGGAGGAGGGAAGCCAUCAGGGGAACUCCUAGAACUGAUUGAGAGAGACUUUGGUUCUUUUGAAAAGUUUUUGGAAGAAUUCAAGUCUGCUGCUACAACACAGUUUGGUUCUGGUUGGGCUUGGCUUGCAUAUAAGGAUAACACGGUUGACCAUCCACGUCCAUCAGAGAAGGACAAAAAGCUUGUUAUUCUAAAGAGUCCUAAUGCCGUUAACCCACUUGUUUGGGACUAUGCUCCACUUCUUACUAUCGACGUUUGGGAGCAUGCUUAUUACCUAGACUUCCAGAA
Molecule: unclassified non-coding RNA, 325 nt
Filed under: Hevea brasiliensis (rubber tree)
Lineage: Eukaryota; Viridiplantae; Streptophyta; Magnoliopsida; Malpighiales; Euphorbiaceae
Source: RNAcentral